GCUUCCUAUAAUAGAAGCACUCUGUCUAACUUUGGUCGGCCUUGGACUUGGACUUCUGGGUCUGACUCUCAACACUUUGCAUCUUUUUAUUCUUCUUUGUUUCUCCUUUCUUAAAGGGAUGAUGUCCACCCGAAGAAGAUCCUCCCACUACAUUCACCAUCUUCUUAUGGAGUUGGUGAUCCUUUUCAAAAGUCUGUAGCAACCCCAAAUGACCAUGGUAGUUGGCUACAGACUUUGUCAUUUGAAAAUGACUGAGAAAUGGUAGGUAGAAUUUAGGCAAGAAGUUCAAGAUCGC
RNAcentral lists this long non-coding RNA (295 nucleotides) under Elaeis guineensis (African oil palm). Its description in RNAcentral is "long non-coding RNA (EGUI_LNC055558)". The record is from RNAcentral. Lineage: Eukaryota; Viridiplantae; Streptophyta; Magnoliopsida; Arecales; Arecaceae.